This 468-nucleotide ribosomal RNA is filed under the name uncultured bacterium. Its description in RNAcentral is "partial 16S ribosomal RNA". It matches the Rfam family "Bacterial small subunit ribosomal RNA", at positions 28 to 507 of the family's 1533-position model. The record is from RNAcentral.
GACGAACGCUGGCGGCGUGCUUAACACAUGCAAGUCGAACGGUGAAGCUCCAGCUUGCUGGAGUGGAUCAGUGGCGAACGGGUGAGUAACACGUGAGCAACCUGCCCCUGACUCUGGAAUAAGCGCUGGAAACGGCGUCUAAUACUGGAUACGAGAAGGGUCCGCAUGGGCACUUUCUGGAAAGUUUUUCGGUUGGGGAUGGGCUCGCGGCCUAUCAGCUUGUUGGUGAGGUAAUGGCUCACCAAGGCGACGACGGGUAGCCGGUCUGAGAGGGCGACCGGCCACACUGGGACUGAGACACGGCCCAGACUCCUACGGGAGGCAGCAGUGGGGAAUAUUGCACAAUGGGCGCAAGCCUGAUGCAGCGACGCCGCGUGAUGGAUGACGGCCUUCGGGUUGUAAACCUCUUUCAGCAGGGAAGAAGCGAAAGUGACGGUACCUGCAGAAGAAGCACCGGCUAACUACGUG